GUAUUGAUUGCAUGAUGAAGCGAAUGGGGACAGAUUACUCUGUUUGGCUAUGUUCUGUCUUAGAUAAUAAGAUUUGCUCAUGAAGGAUGGAGAUAAGAUGCGAGCGAAUUUGAUCAAUCAUUGUACGCAAGUCCGGUCAAAAAGAUUUCGCGAGUUCAAAAACGUAUUUCAUACUGUGCUGAAAAAGGGAGGGGGGUGGCCAGCUCAAAGAAUAUCUUUCUUCUUAGUACAGCUCACAAGACCUAAUGCUUUUGAACGAUAUUACAAGUGUGACUUCAACACACAGCUUGUGUAAUAUUUCAAUGAGCUAGGCUAUACUGCGUGCCUGUACCGCUUUGUUCCUAGAGAUCAGCGAUUGCGGGUUGACUUGUUUCGUAGACUAACGUUACGUACAUUAUGGAUCAUUUAUAUGGCGGGCUCAUUUUGCUGAGUGUGACGUAUAGAGUAUCACGGGCAUGGAUGUCUGGGCGGCGAGAUCAUCGACUGAUCUGACGGGAGUGUCCAUCCGUGUGACGGUGAGGAAAGCCGCGAGGUUGGCGGUGUAGGUGGAGAUCAUGAUGAGGGUGAAGAACCACCAGAAGCCGCUCAACAUGCGGCCCGACGAUGCACGGGGGUUCG
Long non-coding RNA from Branchiostoma floridae (Florida lancelet), 618 nucleotides. RefSeq lists it as uncharacterized. The transcript is spliced from 3 exons. Lineage: Eukaryota; Metazoa; Chordata; Leptocardii; Amphioxiformes; Branchiostomatidae. The record is from RefSeq and is a predicted model, not a curated record.